CACGAGUAGAAUAUUAUGAGCAACCAUAUGCAAUUAAAAUCAUUUCUUAUAACUCAAUAGAACAAUCAACGUGAACCAGCAAGGAGUAUUACCAAAGAUUAAUGUUUUAUCAAGAUUAUGAACCUUUAAUACGAUAUGGAAACGUAAAAUCUCAAUGGCUCUAAGAAGCACUACCAUAGAUAUUAGAGAUCAUCAUAGCCUUAGACAUAGCCGAUAUAUAGAGAAAUAAUUGUGGAAGCAAGAAUAUACGUCACCUAGACGCUCUAGAGGUAAGUAUCAAACCUGUCCGUUAUUCGCUUAUUUUUUAAAAGUCAUGCAAAACAAAGAAAGAAGGGACAGCGUUACAUACUGUAUAAUCGGGCCGCACGUCCAAUAUUUACUGCUCAAGCUAUUAAUCUAUAACAAGCAACAAUCGUGCUGCAAUUAGAUAAACGUCGCGCUUUACUUUCUUGUAAGCUAGCUAAUAAUCUAACGAAAAUUCGGCAGCACUUCCCCUAUUUUCCUUACUUUCUCCCAAUACGACAACAACCCAAAUUAUCCACAGCAAUACCAAUAACACAUAUAACCCAACGAAUCAUAUUUAACAGCCCCCUCCCCAAAACAGUUCCGUCUCGGCAACCAUAGCAGCGAAGCAACGACACACCGAGCGAUAACUCGUUUUAUAAUUCGCAACAGAUCUACCUUAUCGUAUUCAUCCUUUGGAGUAUAUACUCAUAAUCACAUUUAACAUAAAUAUAAUGCCAAAACAGAAUUUUCCCGCAGUUUGCUUUAAUCAAAACAGCCCAAGCACCAACACGACACCACUAAUAAUCCGAUUAUGGUUUCCGUUCUUACUUAGUACAUUCAAUAACUAAAACAAACUUCCUAAGCUACUGGUCACGCACCUUCUUAAAAUUAAUGGAUAAUUAACAAAGGUAUUCUAAAUAAUUAACACACCAAACAAGGAGAUUACGAACCAAAUUAUUUGCAGCUGCUAGCCAAGAGUUGCAGGGUUGGUUUCUCCAUUUCCAUGCCUGCCUAAAACAAGUGGUGAAGAAGAAGAUGAUAUGCAGCAAUGCAUUGAGUGGAUUUCUACACCUCAUUUAAUAGUAUGAAGUGGAGGCAGCCCCCCUCUACACCUGUCCACUAAGGCCAGCUCAUAAUCUGAUCUUUUUAAUUUUUGCGUUGAGUGGUGGGGUCCACUGGAUUAAAUAUUAAUCAGCCACCAAUUAUGAGUGGUGGGGCCCACUGGAUUAAAUUAAUCCUAAUCAGCCACUAAUUAAUCCCUCACAUAAAGUUAAUGGCACUUACAUUAGCCAAAUCAUACUUAAUAUCACAUUUGGAAUUAAUAUCCUUGCCUAAUAUUUCUUUAAUCACUUGGAACUUAAAAUAAAAUCUCAUUCCCCGUACUUACGUCUACUAGAUCAUGAUGCGCACUACGUAUAAAAAAAUACGAGGCAUAACAGUUUGUUUGGGAUGUCCGCUUGUACAGGGGCAGCCUUGUCGGCUGCGUACAUCAUUGUGUAUUGUGUAGUGGCAGCCUUGUCGGCCUACGUAUGUUAUGAUGCUUUGAAUAGUGGCGGCCUUGUCGACUCGUGUAUAUUUUUAUGGUUGAAUGGUUAUGACUCCUUAUGAGACAGGUCCUCUUUAUAUAUAUAUGACGUUGGGGUUGGCUUGAUUUGAUUAAAUUCCAUAUUGUCUUAGUUUCAGUUGGUUAUACUUAGCAGGUUUGUAUGUUGGUGUCCAAAACGGGCACUAGUCACGGCCCAUCGGGUUGGGUCGUGACACAUCAAGACAUCAACAUAUCAACAUAUAGAUAAUAUGACAUUUCCUCGUCAAAGGCUAUCAAAAGACUUACUUAAGUAGAUCAAGAAGAUAACGUCCAUGUUUGACCUCUUCAAGACUACCCAAAUAAUCCUUAAGACUUCCUAAGUUCAGAUCAUCUCCACAUAAUCAACAUCUUCCCUAACUAGAGUCAUUCUUAAGACUCAUCAAGUUAAGAUACGAGGUAACCAUUCCUAUUCCCCCUUCACACCUUAACUAGCAACCCUCAACUACUCUAGAUAAAUACUUAUUUCAUUAACUUACUUUCUUACUUUAAAUUAAGUCAUUUCAUAUAUUAAUUCAUUAAGACUCAUACACCACAUAGAGGACAUUCAAAUAAUGGUCUUGGACAAGAUCUAGGGACUCUAACUAACACCUUCAAAACCUAUUGUGCAAUGUCUACAUAGCGUUCCAUACAACCACCAAACUUCAUAGAACUUCUCUAGUACUAGUAAGUAUCCCGCAUGAUGAGAAUAGACAAUAACUGACAUAGACCAUGAUAUCUAGAAAUAGAAUCCAGAGUUCUAACCUACUCCGAUGAGGGUGUUCUAUUAUCCAUGGGUAGAACUAGGACACAUCCCAUGUAGGCACAUGGUUAAGGAAUAUGAGGGGCUUUUAUGCACUCUAGUCUCAUUCUCAAGUAGAACUACAUUGUACUAUAGUCUCAUUCUCAAGUAAAUCUUCUUCACAUAACAUAAUCACUAGGUGCUAGCCUUGGUUCUCAUAGAGUAAUUGACAUUAAAGGAUCACAUGAAGAGGUUCCUUAUCUAUUUCAUAACCUAGUCACAUUCACCCUACCAAAUAUUCCACUAGGGUUUCCUUUCAAUGGAGACUAAGAUAGCUCAUUAAUGCCAUGGGGUCAUAUUCAACCAUACCACGCCUAGUUGUGUUUAUAGAGGAAUGUCCUUCUCCUCAACAUAGUUACAAUAAUAGGAAGUCAUUUCACAAAAAACCAAUUUCUAGCAUACCACUAGCUUUCAUAAACAUGCAUCAACUUGGGAAAAUCUUACAAUUUUAGGCAAACACAAUUAAACUAGCUAGACAUGCCUUCAUUUUAAAAAUCGAGCCUACAUUCAUGCUUUCCAAACUAUAAAAGUCACAUAAUUUUCAAGAGACUCAACAUCUUUCAUUUUAAAGAGGCUCAAUUUCUCAAUAAUGGCUUAGAUCACCACACGUUAAAAGUGACAUAAACAUCCUUCUUAUAUUAACUCAUAAAGUUAAAUGCACAAAUAACAUAUAAAGAUGCACAAUCAACUUGAGGAAGCCAUAAUUUGGUCAAGAUUCUAUGUCAUGCAAUUUAGAAUCUUCAUAACAUGCAUAAGUUAGUGUCAACUAAGACAUACAUAACAUAUGGAGAACAAGCAACUCAUACUUCAUGAAAGACUCCCAUCAUGAACAAGCUAUUAGAAAUUCUUUAGUUCUUGCUCAAUUAAGAAUAGAAAGACAAGAUUGAAAUAUCUACAACCUUACUACUCAUAACAUCAUCCCUCACUUAGGGUAAACCUAAUUAAAAAUCAACUUAACCUAACCCCAGGAGGAUCUUAGCUUACCAACCUUCAUCACUAUCACUUAAAAGUGAUAACGAAACUAAAAGCAAUUACUGUAACUCUGCCCUAGGAAUACUAAAGGAUAUUCUAAACUUUAUCACCUAGGCAAAUUAUCCCCCAAUUGGGGUAAGCCUAAUUACCAUGCGUUUAAACCAGAUGGUCAAGGCAAGUCAAAUCCAAUCUAUAUACUUCUCACACAAGAAGGUUCAACAUUCUUGAGGGUUUUCACUCCUAAACUCUCAUCAAGGAGUCUAUCAACUGAAUCAUUAAGGCAUAAUACCUCAUCAUUCCUUUAAGUUCAACACCUAAUGGAAAUCCAUAACAUUCAAGUUAGGUCAUACUACCCAACCACAUAAGAUAUCUACUAUACCAUGAAUACCAAGGGUCAUGAAAAGCUUAGGGGAAACAAUAGAGGAGACAUAGCCAUAAGGUCUCUUUCUCUUCUUUCAAUACUAAGGUAACUUCAAAGUCAUUCCAAUUCACAUCAUCACCCUACAAAUACAAGCAUGCUACCCUCACUUCUAGGAUCAAGCCUAUACAAAAGACUAUGAUCCAAACAAAGAAACUAUAAAGAACCACACAUAUACAAUGGACAACAUUUGAACAAUUACACAUAUAUAAGGCAACCUUGAACUAUUAGACAUACAUAUAUAGGCAACAUGCAUUUUUGGCCAUUUACCACACUUCCUAAAGCAUUUCAAGUCCAACACAUAUAAUAGGAAUAUCAUCAUACAUAAUCGUAUAACAAUACACUACUCCAAAAAGAGACUAAUUUUAACUGUAAUAACUUCAUACUUUAACAAUAUCAUGAAAUACAUUUAUCAUAAUAACAUUCCAUUUCACAUAGAUAUCAUAUAUAGCCACAAAGGGCAUCAUAUCUACAUAAUCCAAAGUUCACAUUCACACAUACUCAUCAAACAUAAAACCAAGAUAAGCAUUAAACUCACCUUUUCUCCCUCAAGCAUAGAUAUAUCAUCCAAGCAAUCACAUCUAAAAGACCACCAGACAAGAAAACAGAAGACAGAGAUCUUAUAGAGUUUAAGUUCUAUGGCACGACAUGAGAAUGAUGAAAAAGAAAAACUCUAUCCUUAUAUAGCCUCUCGCUCAUAGAUGUAUCGCUCACCACGGAUGAUCAAGACUCUACUAGACGUGGAAAGAUGAGACUUUUGGAACAUAAAACCACUUCCAUAACCUCGUGCUCUUAUACCACAUUUGUCAUGAUAGGGGAGAACCCCCUAGAAGUAACAUGGAGUACUUGACCCCUUGGAGGUCUUAUACAAGACCAUAUAUCAUUCAUCGCAUAUUCAUAGGUAAAUUUAGUGGAAAAUUCAAAACGUUAGAUUGCACAUCAUAUGCUAGAAAAAUCCCCUCCAACAUAUAUAAAAUAUGAUAAUACAAAGUUAGACUCUAGGUAUCUUUGUCAUCUUUGACUUGAGUACAUUAUAGACCGAACUUUAUAACAUAAUUCAUUAACUAACAUAUUACAACUUUACUUAAAACAAUGACAUGUGAAUUUCUUGAACUUAAGGAUCCCUUUUCCUUGAGCUUGGGUAACACAUAACAAGCUCCUCACCAUAGAGACAACCUUUAAGCAUUCAUAACCGACACUUGUGUAAAAAAGUUUAGAAGAAUGGUGUUAGUGAAAGAAUGCACUAAGUAUGGCAACCAUGCAUUUCAAAGGGACAUUUUACUAGAAACCAUGCAUCAUGCCUUUUUGUGAAAUCUUCACAAAUCAUUGAUACAAUAGUAUUAUACAAUUCAUAUACUUCACAUAGGGUCAUACAUCAUAUAAAAUCACACACUGCAUUUAAGGCAUAGUAAUAGUCACUUUACACUAAGCAUACUAAAUUUACAGUAAGCUAUUUUCUCAUUACAGUGAACUCCUUUACUUCAUAACUUCCCAAGUAACCCUCUAGUGAGGCUUGGUGCAAUGAAUCACCUCAAGGCCACAAGGUAUUCAUUCAUUAACCUUCCUAACUCAAUAUAUACAUUCAUAGUAGCAUAGUACAUCAUAGACACAUUUAUGUCAAGACUUACAAUAUCAUUACAGUAAGCUCUAGUCAUUAUGCACAUAUACUAACUUUGCUUCACAUAGAACAUUAUAAGAUCUUACUCACAAUCCCAAACUAAGUCUACUAGUGCAAUGCACAUGUGAAGCCCCAUAACCUUACCCAUACUUAUUAAACUUAUCAUGAGACCACAAGCCUUAACAUUCACUUCAUACAUUAACAUGACAAGCAUAGACAACUUCAUUCAUGCCAAGCAAGAACUUUAUCAUAUAGUCAUUAAGACAAACAUUAUGCAUGUAAGGAUAAGAUUACAUAGACUCAUACCAUGCAUUUCAUCACACCAAAUAGACUGUCUACACUACAAUGCCAAUCAUAAGAAACAUAAACAUAGUCACAUGCAUUACAACACCUACCUACAACUCCCUUCAAGAGCUACUUGUGCAAUGCAUAGGUAAAUUCCCAUACCCCCACCUACACUAAGCAAUUUCCCUUAGGUUAUACUUGUUAGGGUUCUUAAUUUACUUCCAUUGUCCAUUUUACAUUAGGAAAACAAUAACCUUAAACGACACUAAGACCAUGGGUUCUAAACAUUGAAUUUGGUAUUAUAGAGCCUUACAACAAUGGAAGGUGCUCUACCUAGAAAAGGUAGAACAUUAACACAUGCUAGCAUACUAAGUGAUAUCAUUUUCUAGAUCCUAUGGUUCAAUCAUAGUUUAUGAAACUUGGAGGCAUACAUGGAAUUAUCACUCUAUACCCUUUGGGCUAUGAGGCUAAUCACCUCGUGAGGACUAUGGUGAACCCAACCUUCCCAUAUUGGGAAGAAACGUUUCACCCCUCAUCUUCAAGUUCACUUGGUGCUAAGAUAAGUUCCCUUUAUUGAAAAGCCAUUAGUAUCUUUACUUUAUAAAAUAUAAUCUUAGAUGAGUUAACUCCUCAUAUAAUUUUCUCAUAGGUCAUAGAUGAGAGUUCAUCAACCUAAAUCAUGUGAGAAACUCUUUCACACGGACAUAGCAUAUUCAAGAACCAUCUAGUUUAAUGUACAAUUGAGAACACCUUUUAAGGCCCUUCUAUUGACUAGAUUAUCAUAGAUGUGUGUGUGUAUAUACAUGUGAGCAAACCUUGCACUUAACACCUUUAGACCACACAUGUUCAUACUUUACUUCAUUCAUGCAUAAGGGCAUAUGUGUAACUACAUGAGCAAUCCUUUCAUAUAAACGCAUUUAGACACCAUACACAUUCAUACUUCAUCAUAUCAUAUACUUAAUCAUCGCAUAUAAUUUAUAUUCAUUACAUGUUCAUGCAUUGUUAUUUAUGUACUUAAAUCACAAACCUAGGAUUAUGUUAUCAAGGCACACAUGUGCUAUGCGUAUACAAGGUCCAAUAUCCUUAUCGAUACUAGUACACCAAUCAAGUCAUCCUAGUUAAGGGAUACAUAACAUACUUCAUAGACAUAACAUUUACAUGCAUAGUGGUAGACAUGACUGUGUAUGAAAAUUACCUUUCAUUAGACACCAUGAACCUAUACUACUUGUAAGAAUGCAUGAAGUGUGAGUGUGUGCACAUUGGUUAACAUAAUCACCUAAUGGCUAUCAAAAACACAUUGAGGCAGCCACCCUGUUAGAACCACAAUGCACAUCCAAGCAUAGACCACACAACACAUACUAGCAUAGGAGAAAAUAAAACUUCAAUACUUGCAUUCAAGACUCCUUACCAUAGCUAAUCACAUAUUCACAAAGGGGUACAUAGGUAAAGGGACAUCAACCAUCAUAGUUCAUCAAUGGCAGCACCUAAACCUAUCCCUAACAUAGUUAUAUACAUGCUUAUACAAUAGACAUACUACCUAGAUCACAAAUAGAAUAGAAGACUAGCUAUGAUACUUCACAUUGGGUGAUCAUCACAACCACACAUUCAUACCACAGUAUCCUUCAAGACCAUGAUCACAUCACAUAUGUAAUAACAAUAAAGUGAACACCCCCACCAUAAGUGGACCAUACCAUACAAUGCCAUACAAGGCUUCAUCAACUAAUAAUUUUUAUACAAUAGACGGGAAGAGCAUUCCUGCGAAUUGAUCAAUACUCAUAUUUCCUAAACAAUUAAUAAUAGGGAAGUCGCUAAAUGUAUAUAAACAUGGACGAAAUCAUGCAUAAACCACCACAAGAUCAUGAUACUAACAUGUACACUACUUCACCAAUUCAAUAAAGAGUAGAGAGACAGAUCACUUACCAAUGUCCCUUUCUUUGUUCAUCAUGAUAAACAUUCAUAAUUCAUAAAAGUAGAACUGCCCUAGAAUCGAGAUCAUACAAGUGUUGUAUAUUAACAAUCAAUAGAAGAUAGAAUAACAUAAAUCAAUACUACCUAAUCUUCAAUCUUUGAUCCACAUUGGAUCCAUUAUAUAUAAUUCAUAAUCAAUUUACAUGAUAGACAGUAGAUAACAAUCAAUUUAACAAAAUUGAAUCAUAUUAUAAUGCUCCUAACAUCAAGAUCAUAAUAACCAAUACAUAGGCUAAAACGAGAAUUUGAAGGGAUCAUGGGUUCAAAAUGGAAUUGGAUUGGAAUUUGUUUUAAAAUCAAAAUAUAAUCAAUGAUUCAUCAGAUGAAUUCUUUUGAAAUCAAUUUGAGAAAGAACUCAUGGCUAGAUUAAAAGAUAGGAAAAUUGAUCAUAUUUGAAAACUUUGAAAGCAACUCUCCAUAUCUAGAGGUGAAGGAUCACCAUACCUCAUUAUAUGAAGAAAAGACUAAAACUAGAUGAACAACCUAUAGAAAUCCCAUCAACAAGCUUACCUUAAGCUUCAUCUCCCAUGGAGGUUUUCUAGAGAGGAUAUUUUGGGAGAGGGAAGUCAAAUAUGAAUCAUGGAUUGGGAAUGGGGUUUUCACAUUUGUAACCAACUCAAUAUACCCAAAAAUAACCAAAUAAACCACCUAUGGUAAGAUUAGGACGUGGGGUGAAUUUCCCAUUCACCCCUUCAAUAAACAGUGCGCAGGCAACUUGUUGCAGCCUGCAUCGAUGGACAGCCAUCGACGCCCCUUACUCCCAAUAAUGAUCAGUAGGUGGCCACUGUCGUUUGGUUCUGAGGCUUAUCAUUGGUUGAGACUUCUCCAGGAUAAGUGUGGGACGACGCCUCCCCAUUGACGUGGCGACAACACACCUAUUGGGCGUCGAUUGAAGGUCGUAGGUAGAUAGUGCCAAUGUCAUAUAUCGAGAGCCUUUGGGUCCCCCUUGAUGGCCUUUUUCAGGGCCCUUGGUGAGUCAUACCCAAACAUUUACAACAUAAAUACAGACCUUAACAUGUCAACGACCUUCCAUACAAGUUUGAGCAUCAAACAACAAUAGCAGCACAUCCAAACAUGCUAGGCACACUCAAGUCACACAUGCAUGUCACGACCCGACCAGGGUGGGCCGUGACUAGUGCCCGUUUAGGACACCCACAUACAAACCUGCUAAGUAUAACCAACUAAAACUAAGACAAUAUGGAAUUUAAUCAAAUCAAGCCAACCCCAACAUCAUAUAUAUAUAUAUAUAUAAAGAGGACCUGUCUCAUAAGGAGUCAUAACCAUUCAACCAUAACAGCAUACGCGAGCCGACAAGGCCGCCACUAUUCAAAGCAUAAUAACAUACGUAAGCCGACAAGGCUGCCACUACACAAUACACAAUGAUGUACGCAGCCGACAAGGCUGCCGCUGUACAAGCGGACAUCCCAAACAAAACAUGUCCAGACCAUUAUCUAAAACAUAUAUAUACAACCCACAUAAUGUCCACAGACCUCUAAGAGUACAGUAGUAAAACUCGACGGGACAGGGCCCCGCCAUACCCAUAGACAAGCAAAAGACUACACAAAAAGUUAUGUACCAAAAUGACUGGGCUACGAAACAAUGGAGCUCUCCCGAUCAGCAGAGUAGAUAUCCUAGGUGGGAGGAUCACCGAACUGUGCGUCUACACCUGCGGGCAUGAAACACAGCCCCCCGAGGAAAGGGGGGUCAGUACGGACAAUGUACUGAGUAUAUAAAGCAUAAGGUAAAGAUCAUAGGAUACCAAUAUGGCAAGUCGAAACAAAAUAUCGCUACACAUAUACCCUUUUAAGUGAAUAUCAUGCAUAUAUUUAAUAUUUAAGGUGCCCAACUUCCCUAGUAAGGGGCUCAGCAAAAGAAUCAUCACGUCAUCUCUGUCAUCAUCAUCAUCAUGACCAUCCUCAUCACCAAUCAUAAAUAUAAUAUACAUACCCGGCCCUCUAGUGAGGAACUUGGUGACAUAUGCAAGAAACUCCGCACGAACAUUACCAGGCCCGGGACUCGGUGAAAUGAUAAAUGACUCUAUGCACGAGCAGAAUAUUAUGAGCAACCAUAUGCAAUUAAAGUCAUUUCUUAUAACUCAAUAGAACAAUCAACAUGAACCAGCAAGGAGUAUUACCACAGAUUAAUGUUUUUUCAAGAUUAUGAACCUUUAAUACGAUAUGGACACGUAAAAUCUCAAUGACUCUAGGAAGCACUACCAUAGAUAUUAGAGAUCAUCAUAGCCUUAGACACAGCCGAUAUAUAGAGGAAUAAUUGUGGAAGCAAGAAUAUACGUCACCAAGACGCUCUAGAGGUAAGUAUCAAACCUGUCCGUUAUUCGCUUAUUUUUAAAAGUCAUGCCAAACAAAGAAAGAAG
This 10004-nucleotide long non-coding RNA is filed under the name Solanum lycopersicum (tomato). RNAcentral describes it as "long non-coding RNA (SLYC_LNC001021)". Lineage: Eukaryota; Viridiplantae; Streptophyta; Magnoliopsida; Solanales; Solanaceae. The record is from RNAcentral.